UUGGAGGCGGAGAGUGAAAUGGCGGCCUCCCAAUCUCCGCCCCAGAGGAGCUGAGAACUCGGGGCCCCGCUCCUCAGUGCUCCCCCAGAGAAAAGCCGUCAGUCACUCCCGCCUCCCUGGUCUACGGCCGCACUCCGUGCUCACCCGGCCUGGACCGAGGGUUUCUAUCUCUGGCACCCGACCCCGGGUGGAGUCUCCAAACCCAGCAGAUCCCUGCGGUGAGCUCCCGCGUGGCUCCCCCCGGGGGAGGAAGGAUCGCCAGCCCACCCAGACGCUGCAUUCCCUAUGACUUAGAUCUGCCUCUUCCCAGCACCCCUGCCCCAGCAAUUCCACUGUGUUGCCCUAAAUUUGGCCUCUGUUACGGUUAGAGGCUUCCCAAGUAACCACCUGGCCUGCCUUUGGCUUUUCCCUGGAAGGGAACAGGAAGGACACAGGCAUUGGAGCCAAAUCGAUGUGGAGCUGAGUCCUGGUUUUGCUUCUCACCAUCUGGGGACGAGGCUUAAUCCUUUCAGCGUUAAUGUCCUCAGCUGUAAAAUGGGCACAAUAAAGCUGCCCUGAAAACAUGAGGAGCAAUGUAUGUUAGACACCUGGCAAAACAAAUGAUCAGUUAAACCCCCCCUAGCCCACUGGUGCCAGAUCAAUCUCCCCAAAACACAGGUUAGGCUCAAAAUCCACCUGCCGCUGCCCACCGGCCGGAAGUGAAGUACAAACUCCUCGCUUGGGAAGGAUGGAUCUCAAGGAGAAACCCAAGAGACCGCCCAUCACGCGGGGAUGGCUAAGGCAUCAAGACAGGCUGGAGGCAUCAACCUGAUCUCGCAGAGAGAGAUUCAGACCUUGGAGGAAAAAGCAAAAUAAGGGGAGAAAAGGAAGCAGAACGAUGGCCCAGUGUGCAUUCUUUUGGCAACUAGAGCGAGGAAAACGCAGCGCACGGAGGCAUUCUGAAAAAAUGAAUCCGCUGCACUACACCGGGUUGUCCUUGAAACAGACUCCGCCCUCACCUUCGGCGUCGUCCUAAAGGAUCGGCUCUCCUGUGUAGUCAGGUUGGCUCCCGCUUCCUCGCAGAUCUGGGGCGACUUGGGGGAGGGGUUUGUGCCGUGGACCUGCCCCCACCCCCACCCCCGGCCGCGCUGUGCUGCUGAAGGUAAAUCCUGGAAUUGCACGUACGUUCGUGAGAUCAGGCCUCUUCUGUCUGUCGUUUUGCUGCUUGGAAGGCAAAAGACCCCUCCUCGAGGGGCCUGCAUGGAUUGGCCUGGCAUUGGCCCGAGGUCCUGCAAUCGCUGGGCCUGGGUUGCCAUCUCCUUCCUCGGGAGGACUGGGGAGCGGGACAGGUGCAUUGAGACAUUCUAGCCCCCUCCUCGGGGGAGACAGGCAGUGGGACGCAGGGGAACUCUGCAUGGAAAUCAGAAGACCAAGACAUCCCAGUCAUGCCCUGUAGGGUCUGGAUUUCAGGCACCAUUUCAGCCCCUCUGAGCCUGUAAAAUAGGCCUGAUAAGUCGCUGUCAACCCAUUCUUCAUUCUGUGGUUUCCUGAGUGGCUUCCCUAGGGAGUGGAAUAGGGGCAGGCGUCCACAACUAUACCGUGGUUCUUAAACACAAAAAGAAGAUUCUAUGAAAUCAGCAGGUACAAAUUUGAAUCCACAAAGGCACACAGAAAAAAUUCCUCAGAUCAUCACCUUUCCACCCAGAUCACAAAUUCCUCUUCAUGAAGCACACCGUGGUCUCUCUUAAGUGAAAUCUACCUCUCCCGUCCCUGCAUUUGGGUGGCACUCAGCUGCCCACAUGGGACUUGAGCAAGUUAUUGGUCUUCACCUUGCCUGAAAGAUACCUACUUCAUGAGGGUUUUCUCCCCACUACUCAUGUUUCUUUUCAUGUGGCAGGAGCUUUUUAGCAUUACAAACGCCUGACCUUCCUCAGUCUGUUCACUUACUCUGUUUCAGGGAAGUUGGGAUAACUUAUUUGCCUGGAAAGUUUGGAAGGAGAAACCAGGUGUCUCCUCCCACCCCGGUCCCUUCCCCUUUGCUUGAGAAGCCGGUUCCUUCCCUUGGAGUAUGUUCUCUGCAAUUCCAUGAGCAGGGUUCCCCCCUACAGGCCUGCCUCAACCAGCAAAGGAGCAACUGGGCAGUAAGGUUUUAAAUUCUAGGCUUCUAUAUCAACAAUCCCAUGGUGGCGCUUAUACCAAGCUGUGGGGUCGUUUUGAUUGUCUAUGUGUUGGCUCAGUUUGUCCCGUGUCCUCGUUCAGAACUCAGAUGGGGAAGCGGGUUCUGUUUAUUGGCCCCUUGGUAGAUUGUGUUAUUGUUCCAAAUAUUCAGUUCUUCCCUAUGAGAAGAUUAUUCCCUCCACCUCCAACGAAGCCAGACUUGAUCAUUUACUUAAUAUGGCUAACAGACUGUGUGAGUAGAAGUGACAAGUGCCACUUCCCAGAAGUUUUAAGAGCUAAUGCUCUUCCACCAUUGUUCUUCGUCCUUCUUUGCCUUGUUUGUCCCAGACAGGAGCUGCUCUGCCAACUCAGGACAUGUGAGCAUCACUGGAGUUGAUGCUAGAAUAACAGCCCGAGAAGAUAUAGCUGCACACAGUAUUAUGCCGCAGUUUAAAAUUGUGUUUAUCAACCCAAGAGAAGUGAAAACAUAUGUCCACACAAAAACGUGUACCACGUGUUCAUUGCAGCAUUAUUUGUCAUAACCAAAAGGUAGACACAAGCCAUCAAUGGAUGAAUGGAUGAACUGAUGUGGUAUAUUCAUACAGAAUAUUACUAGAACACAGAAUCUUAUUCAGCCAUAAAAAGGAACAACCUACUGAUAUGUGCUAUGACAUGGAUGAACCUUGAAAAAAUGAUGGUCUACCUGUGAAAGAUGGGGAACGUGUCGCAGAAGCAGUGUGUCCGAGGAAGGAAAGGAACUCAUAAGGUUGCCUCAGGAGAAAAGGUAAUUGGGGCAGAGGGAAGGCUUGGGCUAAGCCAUGGCAUCUGACACAUUUGGGGAACUAGAGGCAGUUCAGGGUGGCCCUCAGUCUAUUCCCAUCACUGCUCUUGCUCUCCUCUUUAUUUCGGGGUCCGUGUGUCUCCCAGCCUCUUGUCUUCUUCAUUCGUCGCCAGCCCUGCCCUGUGCACUUGAUUACAAUCUGCAGCUUCCCUGGCCUGGCCUUCGGUGUUCUCUAAGAACCUGGCUCCUACUUUCCCUCUGGCUCAUCCUAGUCCUGGACACUUUGGAUAACCUCCCUGACCAGCCAUCUUUGCCCCUUGGGACCACAAGCCCAGUCCUCAACAGAGACAACCGGACGGAUGCUAACCAGGACAUCUGGGGAUGGGCUGUAGGGCUCUGUCCUCCUGUCCAAAUGCUCUCACUGGUGUCUUAAAUAAAGAUGAAGAAGGCCUGGUUUUCAAGUGUGUGUGCCCAAAUCCGGGGUAAGUGUGGAGACAAUGUGGCAGGAAGCAUUGAGCAUCCUGACAGGUUGGAACAAAGGACCAAAUCUAAGGAGAUGAAAUAUCUGGACCUCAGGGUAUAAAACCAUGCCCAAUGCCAGGAAAGGAGAAGCAUGGCACAGCAGAAUAUCAUAUGAGGAAAGACUUGGGGUUUUAGAAAGGAAAAAGCUCUUGUUGCGUUAAUAAUCUGUGUUUUUAAAGGAAGCGCAUGGACUCCAGGCUGCAUUAAUAAAGAUCUGGUGUCCAGACAAAAGGAGGUGAGAGUCCUGUUGUAUUCCUAUCAGACCACAUGUGAACUAUAGUGUCUGGUUCUGGAAGUUACACUGUGGGAGACAGAGACAAACUUGAACAACGGUUCUUAACCCUGGCUGGACAUUAUAAUCACCUGGGAACUUUCAAGACCCUUGAUGCCCAGGCCAAGGAGAAUCUUGGGGAGGGGGACCUACACAUCAGUAGUUUUUAAACUUAAAAAAAAUAUUUUUUGGCUUACAGGAGAAUUGCAGAAAAUACAGAAAAUUCCCAUAUACCCUUCAUCCAGCUUCCCCUUAUGUUAACGUCUGAUAUAACCACAGCCUAAUGAGCAAAACUAAGAAAUCAAUGCUGGCACAAUGCUAGGCACUGGAUGAUGGACCUUAUUCCAGUUUCACCUGUCCUUCCACUAUUGCCUUUUCUUCUGUUCCAGGAUCCUACCCGGGACCCCACUUGGCAUUUAAUUGUCAUGCCUCCUUAGCAUUCUCCAAUCUGUAACAAUUCCACAGUUCUUUCUUGCCUUCCAUGACUCUAACAUUUUUGAAGAGUACCCAAAGGACGAAAUGUCUGCUGGUUUGGGCUUUUCUGGUGUUCUCUCAUGAUUAGAUUGAGGUUACACAUUUUUGCCAAGGAUACCAUAGUAACUAGUGGAUUUGUGUUUUUUCAGUG
Long non-coding RNA from Mirounga angustirostris (Northern elephant seal), 4335 nucleotides. RefSeq lists it as uncharacterized. The record is from RefSeq and is a predicted model, not a curated record. NCBI's taxonomy places the organism in Eukaryota, Metazoa, Chordata, Mammalia, Carnivora, Phocidae. The transcript has 4 exons.